RNAcentral lists this ribosomal RNA (318 nucleotides) under Triticum aestivum (bread wheat). RNAcentral's name for it is "partial small subunit ribosomal RNA". The record is from RNAcentral. Lineage: Eukaryota; Viridiplantae; Streptophyta; Magnoliopsida; Poales; Poaceae.
AUGUCUAAGUGUGGCAGACUUCCUAAAGUGAUACUUGCUAUAGGAGAAGAGUGUCGCACAUGCCGAAAGAAUGUAGAUUUUCUGGAAUACAUCAAUGAUGACUUCAUGGGAAUUUUGGAGACCAGGCCAGAAUUCUCUGGUUUAAAGAGUAUAUUUAGUUGGAUGCAGUCCUACUUUGAUGCGUGCUCAGAUGCACUGAAGCCAUGUAUCUUUUAUCUCUCAGUCUUCCAUGCGGACUACAAUAUCAGACGUAGGCGAUUGUUGAGGCGGUGGAUAGCUGAGGGCGGAAAGUUUCAGCCUAGGCCGAGCUCCACAUGA